AGAGUUUGAUCAUGGCUCAGAGUGAACGCUGGCGGCGUGCCUAACACAUGCAAGUCGAGCGAGAAACCACACCUUCGGGUGUGGGAGUAAAGCGGCGCACGGGUGAGUAACGCGUAGGUAACCUGCCCCUAAGUCCGGGAUAACCCUGCGAAAGCGGGGCUAAUACCGGAUACAGCCUCUAAAGCUGUGGCUUUAGAGGUGAAAGGUGACCUCUCCAUGGAAGUUGCCGCUUAGGGAGGGGCCUGCGUCCUAUCAGCUAGUUGGUGGGGUAAUGGCCCACCAAGGCUAUGACGGGUAGCUGGUCUGAGAGGACGGCCAGCCACACUGGCACUGAAACACGGGCCAGACUCCUACGGGAGGCAGCAGUGGGGAAUCUUGGGCAAUGGGCGAAAGCCUGACCCAGCGACGCCGCGUGGGUGAAGAAGGCCUUCGGGUCGUAAAGCCCUGUCAGGUGGGAAGAAAGGCUUGGGGUUAAGAGCCUCAAGCUCUGACGGUACCACCAGAGGAAGCCACGGCUAACUCCGUGCCAGCAGCCGCGGUAAUACGGAGGUGGCAAGCGUUACUCGGAAUCACUGGGCGUAAAGGGCGUGUAGGCGGUAUGGCAAGUCAGC
This 611-nucleotide ribosomal RNA is filed under the name bacterium enrichment culture clone BIG B-Brut-40. RNAcentral's name for it is "bacterial SSU rRNA". It matches the Rfam family "Bacterial small subunit ribosomal RNA", at positions 8 to 592 of the family's 1533-position model. The record is from RNAcentral.